CGUGUAGGCGGCUUUGUAAGCCUGGUGUGAAAGCCCGCAGCUUAACUGCGGAGACGCGCUGGGAACUACAAGGCUCGAGUCUAAGAGGGGGAACUGGAAUUCCAGGUGUAGGGGUGAAAUCUGUAGAUAUCUGGAAGAACACCGGAGGCGAAGGCGAGUUCCUGGCUAUAGACUGACGCUGAGGCGCGAAAGCGUGGGGAGCGAACAGGAUUAGAUACCCUGGUAGUCC
RNAcentral lists this ribosomal RNA (229 nucleotides) under uncultured bacterium. RNAcentral describes it as "partial 16S ribosomal RNA". It matches the Rfam family "Bacterial small subunit ribosomal RNA", at positions 568 to 796 of the family's 1533-position model. The record is from RNAcentral.